This 439-nucleotide ribosomal RNA is filed under the name uncultured bacterium. RNAcentral describes it as "partial 16S ribosomal RNA". It matches the Rfam family "Bacterial small subunit ribosomal RNA", at positions 339 to 795 of the family's 1533-position model. The record is from RNAcentral.
CUACGGGUUGCUGCAGUGAGGAAUUUUGCGCAAUGGGGGAAACCCUGACGCAGCGACGCCGCGUGGAGGAAGAAGGCCUUCGGGUUGUAAACUCCUUUUAUAGGGGAAGAUAAUGACGGUACCCUAUGAAUAAGCCACGGCUAACUCUGUGCCAGCAGCCGCGGUAAAACAGAGGUUGCGAGCGUUGCUCGGAAUCACUGGGCUUAAAGGGCGCGUAGGCGGUUAAUCAAGUCUGAGGUGGAAUCCCUAGGCUUAACCUAGGAACUGCCUCAAAAACUGAUUAACUUGAGUAAGCGAGGGGAUGGCGGAAUUCCUGGUGUAGCGGUGAAAUGCGUAGAUAUCAGGAGGAAGGCCUGUGGCGAAGGCGGCCAUCUGGUGCUUAACUGACGCUGAGGCGCGAAAGCGUGGGGAGCAAACAGGAUUAGAUACCCCAGUAGUC